RNAcentral lists this ribosomal RNA (490 nucleotides) under uncultured bacterium. Its description in RNAcentral is "partial 16S ribosomal RNA". It matches the Rfam family "Bacterial small subunit ribosomal RNA", at positions 30 to 507 of the family's 1533-position model. The record is from RNAcentral.
AUUGAACGCUGGCGGCAGGCCUAACACAUGCCAGUCGAACGGUAACAGGAAGAAGCUUGCUUCUUUGCUGACGAGUGGCGGACGGGUGAGUAAUGUCUGGGAAACUGCUUGAUGGAGGGGGAUAACUACUGGAAACGGUAGCUAAUACCGCAUAACGUCGCAAAACCAAAGAGGGGGACCUUCGGGCCUCUUGCCAUCGGAUGUGCCCAGAUGGGAUUAGCUAGUAGGUGGGGUAACGGCUCACCUAGGCGACGAUCCCUAGCUGGUCUGAGAGGAUGACCAGCCACACUGGAACUGAGACACGGUCCAGACUCCUACGGGAGGCAGCAGUGGGGAAUAUUGCACAAUGGGCGCAAGCCUGAUGCAGCCAUGCCGCGUGUAUGAAGAAGGCCUUCGGGUUGUAAAGUACUUUCAGCGGGGAGGAAGGGAGUAAAGUUAAUACCUUUGCUCAUUGACGUUACCCGCAGAAGAAGCACCGGCUAACUCCGUG